GAUGAACGCUGGCGGCGUGCUUAACACAUGCAAGUCGAACGAAGCACUUUAUUUGAUUUCCUUCGGGACUGAUUAUUUUGCGACUGAGUGGCGGACGGGUGAGUAACGCGUGGGUAACCUGCCUUGUACAGGGGGAUAACAGUUGGAAACGGCUGCUAAUACCGCAUAAGCGCACGGCAUCGCAUGAUGCAGUGUGAAAAACUCCGGUGGUAUAAGAUGGACCCGCGUUGGAUUAGCUAGUUGGUGAGGUAACGGCCCACCAAGGCAACGAUCCAUAGCCGACCUGAGAGGGUGACCGGCCACAGUGGGACUGAGACACGGACCAAACUCCUACGGGAGGCAGCAGUGGGGAAUAUUGCACAAUGGGCGAAAGCCUGAUGCAGCGACGCCGCGUGAGCGAAGAAGUAUUUCGGUAUGUAAAGCUCUAUCAGCAGGGAAGAUAAUGACGGUACCUGACUAAGAAGCACCGGCUAAAUACGUG
RNAcentral lists this ribosomal RNA (481 nucleotides) under uncultured bacterium. RNAcentral's name for it is "partial 16S ribosomal RNA". It matches the Rfam family "Bacterial small subunit ribosomal RNA", at positions 28 to 507 of the family's 1533-position model. The record is from RNAcentral.